AUACGUAGGGGGCGAGCGUUGUCCGGAAUGAUUGGGCGUAAAGGGCGCGUAGGCGGCGCGGUAAGUCUGGAGUGAAAGUCCUGCUUUCAAGGUGGGAAUUGCUUUGGAUACUGCCGCGCUUGAGUGCAGGAGAGGUUAUCGGAAUUCCCGGUGUAGCGGUGAAAUGCGUAGAGAUCGGGAGGAACACCAGUGGCGAAGGCGGGUAACUGGACUGCAACUGACGCUGAGGCGCGAAAGUGUGGGGAGCAAACAGGAUUAGAUACCCUGGUAGUCCACACUGUAAACGAUGAAUGCUAGGUGUAAGAGGUAUCGACCCCUUUUGUGCUGGAGUCAACACAAUAAGCAUUCCGCCUGGGGAGUACGGCCGCAAGGUUGAAACUCAAAGGAAUUGACGGGG
RNAcentral lists this ribosomal RNA (397 nucleotides) under uncultured bacterium. Its description in RNAcentral is "partial 16S ribosomal RNA". It matches the Rfam family "Bacterial small subunit ribosomal RNA", at positions 523 to 918 of the family's 1533-position model. The record is from RNAcentral.